GCUUCGAUCAUGGGCAUCAUACACAAAUG
Molecule: non-coding RNA, 29 nt
Filed under: Mus musculus (house mouse)
Lineage: Eukaryota; Metazoa; Chordata; Mammalia; Rodentia; Muridae
Source: RNAcentral